UUUCUUUUCUCUGAUCUUAUGAGGCCGAGGGAAAGAAAAAUAUGCCACAACUAAUGAUUGUGAGUAUUGGUAUUGCUGGACCCUUCCGUACACAUUGGAAUCCUGAGAUACUGCAAAAGCAUUCAACAACCCAUGUGCUGCCAGAAAAUGCAGGAACUCUUGCUGUAAUGCUGGAGGUGGUCGGGCACAACUCACAGCCCUGCUUGGGACACAGCAGCUGGGGGUCCAUGGAGAUGUCUACCUGAGGCCAAUUGGAGCGAUGGAUGCUGCU
This is a long non-coding RNA of Homo sapiens (human), 271 nucleotides long. RefSeq lists it as uncharacterized. The transcript is spliced from 3 exons. The record is from RefSeq and is a predicted model, not a curated record. Lineage: Eukaryota; Metazoa; Chordata; Mammalia; Primates; Hominidae.